CGUACACUCCUGCGGGCGGCAGCAGUGGGGAAUAUUGCACAAUGGGCGCAAGCCUGAUGCAGCGACGCCGCGUGGGGGAUGAAGGCCUUCGGGUUGUAAACUCCUUUCGCUAGGGACGAAGCUUUUUUGUGACGGUACCUAGAUAAGAAGCACCGGCUAACUACGUGCCAGCAGCCGAGGUAAUACGUAGGGUGCGAGCGUUGUCCGGAAUUACUGGGCGUAAAGGGCUCGUAGGUGGUUUGUCGCGUCGUCUGUGAAAUUCUGGGGCUUAACUCCGGGCGUGCAGGCGAUACGGGCAUAACUUGAGUGCUGUAGGGGUAACUGGAAUUCCUGGUGUAGCGGUGAAAUGCGCAGAUAUCAGGAGGAACACCGAUGGCGAAGGCAGGUUACUGGGCAGUUACUGACGCUGAGGAGCGAAAGCAUGGGUAGCGAACAGGAUUAGAAACCCCUGUAGUCCCAUG
This 461-nucleotide ribosomal RNA is filed under the name uncultured organism. Its description in RNAcentral is "partial 16S ribosomal RNA". It matches the Rfam family "Bacterial small subunit ribosomal RNA", at positions 330 to 799 of the family's 1533-position model. The record is from RNAcentral.